RNAcentral lists this ribosomal RNA (465 nucleotides) under uncultured bacterium. RNAcentral's name for it is "partial 16S ribosomal RNA". It matches the Rfam family "Bacterial small subunit ribosomal RNA", at positions 28 to 507 of the family's 1533-position model. The record is from RNAcentral.
GACGAACGCUGGCGGCGUGCUUAACACAUGCAAGUCGUACGGUAAGGCCCUUUCGUUGGUCCACGAGUGGCGACCGCGUGAGUAACACGUACGUAACCUGCCCCCACCUUUGGGAUAACGCUAGGUAACUGGUACUAAUACUGGUUCUGUGCUCCUGCUUCAUGGUGGGGGUUGGAAAGCUCCGGCGGUUGUGGCUGGCUUCGCGGCCUAACGGCUUGUCGGGGGGGUAGUGUCCUACCAAGGCGGCGUCGGGUAGCCGGACUGCGAAGGUGACCUGCCACACUGGGACUGAGAGACGGCACAGACUCGGACGGGAGGGCGCAGGGGGGAAUCCUGAACAAGGGGCGCCAGGCGGAUGCAGAAGCUCCGCGUGCGGGAUGACGGUCUUCGGGUGGAAAACCGCAUUCAGCAGGGACGAAGCAUUUUGUGACGGUACCUGAAGAAGAAGCACCGGCUAACUACGUG